AGUUUGAGACACCGCACUAGCCCAACGUCACGUCACUGUUUCGGACUUGUUCAAAAUUCCUCGUCAAGCUUUGCCAGAAUGCCGGUAUACUACGGCGGUUUUGUCGGGGGGCCCCAUGGCGGCGGCUACUGCCUGUACUCGUACAGCCAAUGCCAGCCAUCGACUGGGGGCUGCGGGCCCGCGAGUCCCCCACCGGGGCCCAGCUGCCCUCUCUCUUGCUGAACUGGCUGAUUGCUUUUAUAUCCCAUCAGAGCUGAGUUCAGAGAGCAUCGUGCGGGAGAACCUGUGUUUCGUGAUAUCGCUCGUCAUGUUUGUGCUGCUGACCUGGGUCUCCGUCCGAGGCUACUGCUCCGGGCUGGAGAAAGCUCCGUUCUAUAGUGAUUAUUCAAUACAUGUUUAAAAAUUA
Molecule: long non-coding RNA, 406 nt
Organism: Ostrinia nubilalis (European corn borer)
Lineage: Eukaryota; Metazoa; Arthropoda; Insecta; Lepidoptera; Crambidae
Exons: 2
Source: RefSeq, a predicted model, not a curated record